GGUUAAGCGACUAAGCGUACACGGUGGAUGCCCUGGCAGUCAGAGGCGAUGAAGGACGUGCUAAUCUGCGAUAAGCGUCGGUAAGGUGAUAUGAACCGUUAUAACCGGCGAUUUCCGAAUGGGGAAACCCAGUGUGUUUCGACACACUAUCAUUAACUGAAUCCAUAGGUUAAUGAGGCGAACCGGGGGAACUGAAACAUCUAAGUACCCCGAGGAAAAGAAAUCAACCGAGAUUCCCCCAGUAGCGGCGAGCGAACGGGGAGCAGCCCAGAGCCUGAAUCAGUGUGUGUGUUAGUGGAAGCGUCUGGAAAGGCGCGCGAUACAGGGUGACAGCCCCGUACACAAAAAUGCACAUGCUGUGAGCUCGAUGAGUAGGGCGGGACACGUGGUAUCCUGUCUGAAUAUGGGGGGACCAUCCUCCAAGGCUAAAUACUCCUGACUGACCGAUAGUGAACCAGUACCGUGAGGGAAAGG
Molecule: ribosomal RNA, 474 nt
Filed under: Escherichia coli
Lineage: Bacteria; Pseudomonadati; Pseudomonadota; Gammaproteobacteria; Enterobacterales; Enterobacteriaceae
Description: partial 23S ribosomal RNA
Rfam family: Bacterial large subunit ribosomal RNA
Source: RNAcentral